RNAcentral lists this transfer RNA (64 nucleotides) under marine eukaryotic metagenome. It matches the Rfam family "tRNA", at positions 5 to 66 of the family's 71-position model. From Rfam's summary of the family: Transfer RNA (tRNA) molecules are approximately 80 nucleotides in length. The record is from RNAcentral.
CUGAUAGCCAAGUGGUAAGGCAAGGGUCUGCAAAACCCUUAUGCGGGGGUUCAAUUCCCCCUCA